UUUCCGUAGGUGAACCUGCGGAAGGAUCAUUGUCGAUACCUGCAUAGGCAAACCGCGAACUCGUUUCAACACAAUGGGAACCGCCGUUUGGGGCAACUCUACGGCGAGUCUCCCCCCGCGUGAGCUGCGGUCUAACGAACCCCGGCGCGGCAUGCGCCAAGGAAAACUCAUAGGAGCGUCCGCCCCCGUCGCCCCGUGCGCGGUCAGUGAUGGGGGACGUGCCUCAAUGUCUAAACGACUCUCGGCAACGGAUAUCUCGGCUCUCGCAUCGAUGAAGAACGUAGCGAAAUGCGAUACUUGGUGUGAAUUGCAGAAUCCCGUGAACCAUCGAGUCUUUGAACGCAAGUUGCGCCCGAAGCCUUUCGGCCGAGGGCACGCCUGCCUGGGCGUCACGCAUCGCGUCGCCCCCCGCCCGUCCCCGGACAUUGGCCCCCCGUGCGCCCAGCCCGCGGCUGGCUUAAAUGAACUCAUGUGGCGCCCGCCGUCACGACAAGCGUUGGUUGAGCACUCCUCUCUGUUGCUGUCGUGUUGUGCGGCGCGCUGCGUCCUCGCAGACCCAAUGGCUCGACUGCUCGUGCCUUCGUACGCGACCCCAGGUCAGGCGGGACCACCCGCUGAGUUUAA
This 624-nucleotide ribosomal RNA is filed under the name Graderia fruticosa. Its description in RNAcentral is "eukaryotic LSU rRNA". The stretch from base 237 to 392 matches the Rfam family "5.8S ribosomal RNA". Lineage: Eukaryota; Viridiplantae; Streptophyta; Magnoliopsida; Lamiales; Orobanchaceae. The record is from RNAcentral.